RNAcentral lists this transfer RNA (70 nucleotides) under Trichonephila inaurata madagascariensis. RNAcentral describes it as "tRNA-Cys". The record is from RNAcentral. Lineage: Eukaryota; Metazoa; Arthropoda; Arachnida; Araneae; Nephilidae.
GGGCGUAUAACUCAGUGGUACAGCAUUCGACAGCAUAUCGAGAGGUCUCCGGUUCAAACCCGGGUGUCCU